UCACAUCUAUAGUUCUUCCAUAUUUAAAAAUAUUAAUAAAACUUAUAUCAAAGGCACCUACAUUUUGUGAGAGUACCUCCUCUUUUAUACCUCUAUAAUCUUACUUUAUAGAUGUACUUCUCCAAAAUCCUUAAAUCCUUCAAUAAUUCUUAUCAAUGGCUUUUCUUUCAACCUAUCUUGAUUUUGUUCAUACUUAAGAGGCACAAUUAGAAAUUGUACCGCUUUCCUUUCAUCUUCACUAGAUAUCCAUACAUAAGCUGAACCAUCAUCAAGUACUUUUGUUUUCAUCU
RNAcentral lists this long non-coding RNA (290 nucleotides) under Physcomitrium patens. Its description in RNAcentral is "long non-coding RNA (PPAT_LNC005387)". The record is from RNAcentral. Lineage: Eukaryota; Viridiplantae; Streptophyta; Bryopsida; Funariales; Funariaceae.